Molecule: long non-coding RNA, 3892 nt
Filed under: Homo sapiens (human)
Lineage: Eukaryota; Metazoa; Chordata; Mammalia; Primates; Hominidae
Description: non-protein coding LINC01354:3
Source: RNAcentral
AGACACCACAUGCGCAGGGCCGACUGCAUUCCCACGGCGACGGCCUCCUGGCCCGCAUCAUGACUGUUGUUUUCCUCGCGGUGGCCAUAGCUUUUGGAUUUUACAUUCAGAUUGGUUCAAGGGGCUUUUUCCUUUCUCUGUUUGAAGGAAGCCACCCUCUCGAUCCCCAGUCAGCGUGGCGUCCUCUCAGCAACCCGCUCCUGGUCUUGCUUUGACUCCUGUGCUCCCGGGCUGCCGAGAACACGUCUGGAGCUUUUAAAUCAGGGUGAGUCCCAGCCGCCGAGGAAGCACUGAACAAAAAGGCCACCGCUGGGGAGCUGCAGGGGCACAGACGGAGCCUGGGAGCGGGGCUGACCAUGGGGAAGAAGGGGAGGUGGGAAAGAAGGCCCGGCCACCUCCACUGCUACAGCCACAGCGACAACAGUAGACAGUGACAGGCCCUGCCUGCCACGCACUGCAGAGUCUGUGGCUCUCCCCUGUUAAGUAAGAGCAGUCGGCGCUGACGUUCAGUGAGGUCAUGAGGAUACUCACAGAACUUUCUGGAAUAAGGGUCAGGCUGCGAAGCAUUCCCCAGACAUUGUAACAUCCAGCCAGUCACUCGUGGCAUUUAGCUUUUAGGUUCAUCUCUGUGAAUAAUCAUCACAAAUAUUUACUGAGCAUCCUUCAUCUCCUGGAAGCCUCGUGGAUUAUCUUGCUGAAUCCUCACCACAGCAGCCCGCUGAGGGAGGUGCUAUCAUCGUCCCUGUUUUUCAAGGGAGAGAAUCAAGGUUUGGGCAGGUGCAGUGACCUGGGGCGGUGCGGGGGGUGGGGGCGGGGUCUAUUUCUGGCAGUCCUUCUUACGCUCAUCCUGACUUAAUAAUACUGUUUCUGCAUUUACUGCAAAAUGGGCUCCCCCAGGGGUUACCCACAGAGACACAUUUUCUCUUUUCUCUCCUCCACUCAUGAGCUCAGUUGCGUGCUACGUUAUCUGCCUUGUCUUCCCAGGCGUACUUUAACUUCUGCAGAGCAGACUGAAACUAUGUCCGCCAGGCCAGGGCUUUCAUUGCCCCCACCCAACUCUCUCCUGUCCCUGCCCCUACCUCAUCCUAUCAGCUAGCCGUCAAAAGAGCAACCGGAAAAUCCCACACUUUGGUUAAUAAAGCUAAUAUUAGAAAGAAUCACUAAAAGUUAAGCUUUAGGGUCGAAUCCAUUGAUAAGUGUUUAAUACACUGACCAUUUCAUCUGAUAUUUUAUUUUUUUAAUUUUAAAAUUAAUUAAUUGUUUAUUGUUUAUUUUUUAGAGACAGGGUGUCACUCCAGAGUGGAGUGUGGUGGUGCAAACAUAGCUCACUGCAGCCUCCAACUCCUGGGCUCAAACAAUCUUCUUGCUUCAGCCUCCCAAGUAGCUGGGACUACAGGUACAUGCCACCACACCUGACUAAUUUUUUUUGUUGUUUUUUUGGUUUUUUUAGGGACAAGGUCUUGCUAUGUUGCCCAAGCUGAUCUUGAACUCCUGGCCUCAAGCAAUCCCAAUAGUUCGGUCUCCCAAAUUGCUGAGAUUGUGGGUACAAGCCACUGCACCUGGACUUCUUCUGACAUUAUAAAGCAAAGAGCAUUUUCAAAAGCUGAUGCUACUUGUGCAUAUUCCAUAUUUGCUGAGCGCUUACUGUGUCCCCAUUAAGUGCCAGGCACAGUUUUCAGCACUGCUUUAAAGUGUCUACAAGCUUAGAAAGGGCAUAGGCAUCUCUUGAAAUCCAGUGUUCUAGGGAAAGUUUUUCCUGUGGUUUUGCACAGAACCCACCGCUUCCUGUCCAAGGUGACAGCUUUAGCUGGGAGAGAAAUUAAAAAUGCCUCCUUGGAAUAGCUAUCUGAUGUGUCUAAAUAUGAUUGCUGAUGUUAGCAAUAGGACCUGCCUAUUAGCAAUGGUUUGGGCAACUGUAUGUGUGAGGCAGGGAGAGAAAGAGGAAGAAAAUACAGCUCUCACUAUUGUUUCCAAAUGGCAAGACUGGUUUUCCUGCUACCUACUAACCAGUGUAGUUAUUAGUGUUACAUAUCACCUCUGCAUCUUAUUUAUGUAAUAUUCCAAGAAGCUAAAAAAAAAAACCUCUUUUUUUUUUUUUUUUUACAAAUCUUAGAUUUUAUGAACACUUGCUAAUAGCCCCCCCCUCCUAGAUCGUCAUUGCUGUGUAACAAAUUGUCAUACAUUUAGCAGUUUAAAAUACCACACAUUUACUCACAGCUUCCAUGGGCCACGAGUGUGGGGACGAGUGACUGGGUCGUCUGCUCAGGGUCUCUUACAAGACUCCAUCAGCGUUUCAGCUGGGGCUGGGGUCUCAUCUGAGGCUCAGGGUCCUCACUCCAGGUCACAGGGCAGAAUUCAUUUCUUUCAAGCUACGGAUCUCAUGGCAGCUUGCUUUUUCAAGGCCAGCAAGGGAGAGAGUGAAUCUGCUGCUUUUAGUGUCUGACCUCUCGAUCUUCUUUUAAAUGGCUCAUCUGAUUAGGGCAGACCCACCCAGGAUAAUCUCUCUUUUGACUAACUUACAGUCAACUCAUUAGAGAUCCUAAUUACAUCUGCAAAAAUCCCCUCACCUUUGCCUGAUAAUGUGACAUCAUCACGGGGGCAAUAUCCCAUCACUUUUGCCAUAUACUAUUGGCUAGAAGCAAAUUAAGGUCCUGCUACCACUCAAGGGGAGGGGAUUACACAAGGGCAUGGGACAUCAGGGGUCAUCUUAGAAUUCUGGCAACCAGAAUAAGCUACUUGUGGAUAGACAUGUUGUCAUACAUAUUUUUUGUUCAGUCAUUAUGCUUAGCAGAGAAAUAGGCACACAGCAGAAAAAUAACUGAUUGGUACGGAGAAUUUAGUGAUUGGAAACGAAUUAAUAUUGUUAAGACACAAAGUUUCUUGCAGAGCACACUCUGAAAAAGGUCACUUUUUACCCCUCAAUAUGUCUUAAUGGGUUGAGGUAGAGAGAAGCGUGGGUAGGUAUCAAUCACGAGAGCACACAGGCUAAAAGAAAGAAAAAAUGAGCUGGGACAUCUAAGUUCAACUUCCACUUCCUCCUAUACAAGCUGGGUGACCUUUUCCUAUCUAGAAAGUGGGAGAAGUAGUUCCUGUCCUCCCUUACAGGGCUGCUGAGCAGGCAGAAUGAGAUGAUGGGCUGAGAGGGCUUGGAGAGGACAAACUGUGGGUACAAAAGUCUUAUUGUCCUGGCCCGGAUUGCUAAGGAGAUGGUGGUUAAUAAUAUGCUGCUAUCUCAUGAGGUAAAUGCGUGAUCACAUAGCCAAGAGAUGCCUUUUUGUUCUAAUGAUCACUGUAAGACCUUCUUGAGAGACAGUCCAAGUCUCUCCAGCACAAUGGAAAAUUGCAUUUUCUAUGCACACAUUCGAGGGGAAAGAGACCCCUCCAACGUUCUUCUCAGUUUUACCCCAAAGUUGAGUUCUGGGUCAAAAAUCUCUCAAGCGUCCUCCACAGCUGACUUCCACAGUCCCCUGUGUGUCUCUGCAAGGAACACAAAGGAAGUGAGAUAGUGGGAAGUCUGGGGCCAUCUUCGGUCACGUGAGAAUUCCCUCUCAGUUAGCCGGGGCGUGCAGCCGCACAGAAGGAAGGCAGCCACGCAGCUCCAGUCCAGGCUGGGAGAGAGCUUUGUAGAUCCAUCUCCCACUGAGCAGGCUUCCCUCCUGCAAGGAGAGACUCUACCGAUAAUGUGUUAAGAUCAGAUUAAUGCAGGAAAUACACAUGAAAUAAAUAAUAACAGUGUAAUAACAGUGGCUGUCAUUGCAAUGGUUAUUUCUGUUAAAAAUGUGAGAUCUACACUACGGAUUUCUUAGGAUAAUUUUGCCCUUACUUAAAAGAAACUGACAGAUGUACUUUAUAAAAAUGAAAAUAAUUUAACAAAUAAAGAAUUGGAGAAUAU